Molecule: unclassified non-coding RNA, 366 nt
Filed under: soil metagenome
Description: partial contains 5.8S ribosomal RNA, internal transcribed spacer 2, and large subunit ribosomal RNA
Rfam family: 5.8S ribosomal RNA (bases 1-120)
Source: RNAcentral
GAUGAAGAACGCAGCGAAAUGCGAUAAGUAGUGUGAAUUGCAGAAUUCAGUGAAUCAUCGAAUCUUUGAACGCACAUUGCGCCCGCCAGUACUCUGGCGGGCAUGCCUGUCCGAGCGUCAUUUCAACCCUCGAGCCCCCCCUCCGCCCCCGGCGGCGGCGGGGCUCGGCGUUGGGGGUCCACGGCCCAGCGCCGCCCCCGAAAUGCAGUGGCGACCCCGCCGCGGCCUCCCCUGCGCAGUAGCUCCCAGAGAACCUCGCACCGGAAGCGCGGAGGCGGUCACGCCGUAAAACAACCUCCUCCUGGAAGUUGACCUCGGAUCAGGUAGGGAUACCCGCUGAACUUAAGCAUAUCAAUAAGCGGAGGA